RNAcentral lists this ribosomal RNA (2773 nucleotides) under endosymbiont of Ridgeia piscesae. RNAcentral describes it as "bacterial LSU rRNA". It matches the Rfam family "Bacterial large subunit ribosomal RNA". Lineage: Bacteria; Pseudomonadati; Pseudomonadota; Gammaproteobacteria. The record is from RNAcentral.
AUAUGGUCAAGUGAGUAAGCGCAUACGGUGGAUGCCUAGGCGGCAGAAGGCGAUGAAGGACGUGGUAGGCUGCGAUAAGCCUCGGGGAGUUGUCAAACUAGCUUUGAUCCGAGGAUUUCCGAAUGGGGGAACCCACCUCUUAGGAGGUAUCUGCAUCUGAAUACAUAGGGUGUAGAGGCGAACCCGGGGAACUGAAACAUCUAAGUACCCGGAGGAAAAGAAAUCAACCGAGAUUCCCUUAGUAGCGGCGAGCGAACGGGGAUUAGCCCUUAAGCGAUAGAGUGGUUAGUGGAACGGUCUGGAAAGUCCGGCGAUACAGGGUGAUAGCCCCGUACACGAAAGCCUAUUUAUCGUGAAAUCGAGUAGGGCGGGACACGUGAUAUCCUGUCUGAACAUGGGGGGACCAUCCUCCAAGGCUAAAUACUCUCUGCCGACCGAUAGUGAACCAGUACCGUGAGGGAAAGGCGAAAAGAACCCCGUUGAGGGGAGUGAAAUAGAACCUGAAACCGUAUGCGUACAAGCAGUGGGAGCCCCUUCGGGGGUGACUGCGUACCUUUUGUAUAAUGGGUCAGCGACUUACUUCUCAGUGGCAAGGUUAACCGUAUAGGGGAGCCGUAGGGAAACCGAGUCUUAAUAGGGCGCCAUAGUCGCUGGGAGUAGACCCGAAACCGGGCGAUCUACCCAUGGCCAGGGUGAAGGUGCGGUAACACGCGCUGGAGGCCCGAACCCACUUACGUUGAAAAGUGAGGGGAUGAGCUGUGGGUAGGAGUGAAAGGCUAAUCAAGCCCGGAGAUAGCUGGUUCUCCUCGAAAGCUAUUUAGGUAGCGCCUCGCGUCUCACUCCAGGGGGUAGAGCACUGUUUCGGCUAGGGGGCCAUCCCGGCUUACCAAACCGAUGCAAACUCCGAAUACCUGGAAGUGCAAUCGCGGGAGACACACGGCGGGUGCUAACGUCCGUCGUGGAAAGGGAAACAACCCAGACCGCCAGCUAAGGUCCCUAAAUCACAACUCAGUGGGAAACGAUGUGGGAAGGCAUAGACAGCUAGGAGGUUGGCUUAGAAGCAGCCAUCCUUUAAAGAAAGCGUAAUAGCUCACUAGUCGAGUCGGCCUGCGCGGAAGAUUUAACGGGGCUUAAGUUGUGUACCGAAGCUGCGGAUGCGUGUUUACACGCAUGGUAGAGGAGCGUUCUGUAAGCCUGCGAAGGUGUGUUGUAAAGCAUGCUGGAGGUAUCAGAAGUGCGAAUGCUGACAUGAGUAACGAUAAUGCGGGUGAGAGGCCCGCACGCCGAAAGCCCAAGGUUUCCUGCGCAACGCUAAUCGGCGCAGGGUUAGCCGGCCCCUAAGGCGAGGCCGAAAGGCGUAGUCGAUGGGAAUCAGGUUAAUAUUCCUGAGCCUGCAGGUGGUGACGAAUUCCGGUAGUUACUGUAUCGCGUUGGUUGUCGAUAUGGUGGCGUAGGAGUUCCAGGAAAUAGCCCCUGCAUAUAGACCGUACCCCAAACCGACACAGGUGGGCAGGAUGAGUAUUCCAAGGCGCUUGAGAGAACUCUGGUGAAGGAACUAGGCAAAAUGGUACCGUAACUUCGGGAGAAGGUACGCCCCUCGUAGUGCAAGCUAUGGGGGGCCGCAGAGACCAGGUGGCUGCGACUGUUUAUUAAAAACAUAGCACUCUGCAAACUCGAAAGAGGACGUAUAGGGUGUGACGCCUGCCCGGUGCCGGAAGGUUAAUUGAUGGGGUUAGCGCAAGCGAAGCUCUUGAUCGAAGCCCCGGUAAACGGCGGCCGUAACUAUAACGGUCCUAAGGUAGCGAAAUUCCUUGUCGGGUAAGUUCCGACCUGCACGAAUGGCGUAACGAUGGCCACACUGUCUCCACCAGAGACUCAGUGAAAUUGAACUCGCUGUUAAGAUGCAGUGUACCCGCGGCUAGACGGAAAGACCCCGUGAACCUUUACUACAGCUUUGCACUGGACUUUGAGCCUACUUGUGUAGGAUAGGUGGGAGGCUUUGAAACCGGAACGCCAGUUUCGGUGGAGCCAACCUUGAAAUACCACCCUGGUAUGUUUGAAGUUCUAACCUAGACCCGUUAUCCGGGUUGGGGACAGUGUAUGGUGGGUAGUUUGACUGGGGCGGUCUCCUCCCAAAGAGUAACGGAGGAGCACGAAGGUACCCUCAGCGCGGUCGGACAUCGCGCAAUGAGUGCAAAGGCAUAAGGGUGCUUGACUGCGAGACAGACACGUCGAGCAGGUACGAAAGUAGGUCUUAGUGAUCCGGUGGUUCUGUAUGGAAGGGCCAUCGCUCAACGGAUAAAAGGUACUCCGGGGAUAACAGGCUGAUACCGCCCAAGAGUUCAUAUCGACGGCGGUGUUUGGCACCUCGAUGUCGGCUCAUCACAUCCUGGGGCUGAAGUCGGUCCCAAGGGUAUGGCUGUUCGCCAUUUAAAGUGGUACGCGAGCUGGGUUUAGAACGUCGUGAGACAGUUCGGUCCCUAUCUGCCGUGGGCGUUCGAGAUUUGAGGGAAGCUGCUCCUAGUACGAGAGGACCGGAGUGGACGUAUCUCUGGUGUUCCGGUUGUCACGCCAGUGGCAUUGCCGGGUAGCUACAUACGGACAGGAUAACCGCUGAAAGCAUCUAAGCGGGAAGCCCCUCCCAAGAUUAGAUCUCGCUGGACCCUUGAGGUCCCUGAAGGUCCGUUAAAGACUAUGACGUUGAUAGGCUGGGUGUGGAAGCGCAGUAAUGUGUGAAGCUAACCAGUACUAAUUGACCGUGAGGCUUGACCAU